RNAcentral lists this long non-coding RNA (1114 nucleotides) under Nicotiana benthamiana. RNAcentral describes it as "long non-coding RNA (NBEN_LNC020953)". Lineage: Eukaryota; Viridiplantae; Streptophyta; Magnoliopsida; Solanales; Solanaceae. The record is from RNAcentral.
UUUUAUGCCUUGGGGAAGGGCUGGAACCUUUUCAGCCCCAAAAUCCAAGAACAAAAAUCAUAUUUUCCUUGUAUUUUCAAUUUUAGUUAGGUUCUCAAUUUUAGCUCAAAAAAUUCCACAAAAAUUUGCUUGUCCUUUCAUUUUUAGCUUUCAAAAUUAGAUCCAACAUUCAAAUACACCAAAAAAUACAAAAAAAAAUGCAUACAGAAAUAGAAAACAACAAAAAAAUGUUCACUGCUCAUUGGUUGUAAGUAGCUUCUGGUUUUUUUUUUCCUUGGGUGUUCUUUCUUAUAGCUUGAUUUGAAAUUUUGGUUGAGUUGGUUUGGGGUUUAUUCCUGCUGGAUUGUGGUCUUUUCUGUUGGAUUUUUAAGUUUUCCGGGUUCAUAGAUUGCAUUCAUGGGUUUCUUGUUGCUGCUUGGUUCACUGAGCAUUUUGCUGCAUUAAGCUGCUGCUGACUACUUUCCAUCUUCUCAAUUGAAUCAUACUUCAGGUACACGCCUUGAGAUCAGUCUGAUGUAAAUUUUUAAAUGGAAAUGCAGUGGCAGCUUGAUACUUGUUUGGGCCUUCACUGCUCUAUGUUGUUCAAUUAAAUUGUAGUUAGUUUUAGGAUGCAUUUUCUGAUGAAAUCGCUGCUUUAGUUCUGAUGGUAAUGAAUUGGUCGAACUGUUAAUAUGUCAGGGACUACCUAAAUCUUUAAUUCGUAUAAGACUGAACAUUGAUUUUGAGCUAGCAGAACUGUAAUAAUUUGAACUAUGUCAUUAGGACUACUUUAAUGACUUUGGAUUGUUUUAACUGUCAUUUGUAUUUGCUUAAACUUUGUUAGCUGGAAAUUGCUUAGAGGUUUGGUAAGUAGGAGUGAUUUGGGACUUAAGUAGAAUUUUAAUUGCUUUUCUUUCAGAAAAAAAUAAGAAGAAGAGAAAACUAGCAAUAGUAAAAUCGUAGCCUUCUUAGAAUUAUCUUUAAAAUUAAUAAAGAGAUGAGCCUCGCCCAAGCAAAAACAAAUGCGGGGCCCUUGAUAAGAAUUAUAGAAUUAAUUUAGAAUAUGGGAGGGCCAUUUAGCGAAUUUCAUGGCCUUACCCAAAUUAAUAAUACGCUAGAAUCUUUAGACGCGUUU